Molecule: unclassified non-coding RNA, 278 nt
Filed under: Rozellomycota sp.
Lineage: Eukaryota; Fungi; Rozellomycota
Description: Cryptomycota sp. partial contains small subunit ribosomal RNA, internal transcribed spacer 1, and 5.8S ribosomal RNA
Rfam family: Eukaryotic small subunit ribosomal RNA (bases 1-47)
Source: RNAcentral
AAAGUCGUAACAAGGUUUCCGUAGGUGAACCUGCGGAAGGAUCAUUAACAAAUCAGUGCGUAGGGUGCCGCGAGGCGCUCUACGAUAUCUACCCCGAGCUUGCUUGCGCAAGUGAGCAGCUCUGGUUGCAGUGCCUGUGGGUCUGUCUUGAUGGACCCGUAUGGGACUGUAGACUGAAUCGCCCUAACCGGUGUGCAGGUCACAUAGACGCUUGUAUGUUUGACAGUCUAGUUGCAUCUUAAAAAUGACAACUUUUAACAAUGGAUCUCUUGGCUCUU